This 125-nucleotide small RNA is filed under the name Marmota monax (woodchuck). Lineage: Eukaryota; Metazoa; Chordata; Mammalia; Rodentia; Sciuridae. The record is from RNAcentral.
GCCAGGCAGAGUGGCGCACGCCUGUCAUCCCAGCGGCUCGGGAGGCUGAGGCAGGAGGAUCGUGGGUUCAAAGCCAGCCUCAGCCAAAGAGAGGCUCUGAGCCACUCAGGGAGACCCUGUCUCUA